AGCGAACGCUGGCGGCAGGCCUAACACAUGCAAGUCGAACGAACUCUUCGGAGUUAGUGGCGGACGGGGGAGGAACACGGGGGAACGUGCCCGUAGGUUCGGAAUAACUCAGGGAGACAUGUGCUAAUACCGCAUGUGCUCUUCGGGGGAAAGAGUUUUCGCCUUUAGAGCGGCCCGCGUCUGUUUAGCUGGUUGGGGAGGUAAAGGCGGACCAAGGCGACGAUCAGUAGCUGGUCUGGGAGGAUGCUCCGUCACAUUGGGACUGCGGCACGGCCCAAACCCCUACGGGAGGCAGCAGUGGGGAGUCUUAUGGAAUGGGCGCAAGCGUGACGCCGCCGCGCCGCGUAAAUGAUGCAGGUCUUUGGAUUGUAAAUUUCUUUCUGCGGAGGCGAGAAUGACGGUACCCGGAGAAGAAGCCCCGGCUAACUUCGUG
This 433-nucleotide ribosomal RNA is filed under the name uncultured bacterium. RNAcentral describes it as "partial 16S ribosomal RNA". It matches the Rfam family "Bacterial small subunit ribosomal RNA", at positions 28 to 507 of the family's 1533-position model. The record is from RNAcentral.